This is a long non-coding RNA of Anguilla anguilla (European eel), 2210 nucleotides long. RefSeq lists it as uncharacterized. The record is from RefSeq and is a predicted model, not a curated record. The transcript is spliced from 2 exons. Lineage: Eukaryota; Metazoa; Chordata; Actinopteri; Anguilliformes; Anguillidae.
GACUGGCAUGCAGCGGGCACGCCGUAGGGUGCUGCAGACUGUAGAGUAGUGAUGCCCAUUUUUGGUCAAAGUCAAAUGUAAAAACAAAAAGAUGUUGAAUAAGUACUAUUGAUGUGCUGAAGGGAAAAGAUCAGAAGUUAUUUAUUGGAAUCAUUGCCAACCUGAAGCCAGGAGACAGUGCUCUUUCUCUGACAGGCGAUUUCAGAGCAUCAUUUACUUUAAAUCAGCUUUAAUGUCUUAAUGAAAGCAUAGCUUGUGUUUCCAUGGAGAUCUGAGGGAUUAUUACCGCUGUCCUGGCGUCCUGCCCUGGCAGCGGUACCUGUCCCCCGGUGCGGAACGCGGGAGUCCGCAGGUGACCUGACGCUUUGUUUACGUGCGGGACAGGCCUGUUUGGGGCCGGUGCCUUGAAGCCGAAGGUCCGUGCUGAUCUGUGACAUCUGGGCUUUCAGAAGCAUGACGCGAGUGUGUUUCUGGCACCCCAGUCCAUGUGCAACACUACGCACAGCUCACCAAGAGCACGCGUUCGGAACUCUGAAGAACUGACAUGCUCUAAAAAACUUACUUUCACUAUGUUUACUGUGCCAUGGAUAAAUGUGUAGAUCCUCAGUCAGACUAAGUUUUGAUUAAAAAAAAAAAAGUGAACUCUCAGCCACCUACUGCUGAAAUGCUUCUUCAUUUCUUUGUUUUUUUAAAUCUUAUUUUGUAAGCUGAAUUUAGCGUAAUUACACUGGCUGCAGCUGUCUGGGUGCCGCUUUACACAUGCAGCUGAAGAAAGGCCUGCUCAGGGAUUCUGAGACCCGAUCUUUAUUUGGUCUGAUGGCAGUGCAGGUUGUCCCUUUAUUCAGUCUGAUGGCAGUGCAGGUUGUCCCUUUAUUCAGUCUGAUGGCAGUGCAGGUUGUCCCUUUAUUUCAUUAACCAGGAGAGUGGACACAACACCUCACUGCAGUCCCCAAUGUUACUGAUAAUGGCUUUUAUUCAUUAAUGAGCGCUCAUUAAUCAAGAUCUUAUUUAAAAUCCAAGUCCCACCAAACAGAUCACGUGACAUAAGUUGGGUAUCUGUGUUGAAUACCCUGAAAAAAAAUGUGAUUGUAGAUUUUGGGGGGAAAAAAAACAAAAGAAACAGUAGGCAUUUUUUGUAAUAUCACAUGAAACACUAUGGCUGGGCAGAAAAAAAUGCCUAAUGCUAGCUUGCUAGCCUCACGUGUGUACAGUCAAUAGCUAGCCAAACACUUCAUUAUUAAACUUUAUUUUGGAAAUGUGUAAUUUUUUAAAAUGUAAAUUUGUUUCCUAAGCUGUGCAUAAUGUAUGUUUCAGCAAACCUUUUUUGGGAAGUAACCCUUUCAGGACAUGGGACCUGUCUGAAUGAGUACCAAAUGGGAUCGGAGAGGGCUGUUGAAUUUAGCGGUGUUUUCCUGGCAUGGUGUUGGAUUUGGGAACGAGACGUGGACUUUGAGAGGGUGGCCAUUUUCAUUCUCUCUUCAGCAGCCGUCAGUUACUGCCGUGUCUUUAAGAAGCUGUCCAAUUAUUAUUAUUUUCUUCGUUUAUAUUUGUCUUGCUACCAAUAUGAAAGAUUUAGUUUAAUUUGAAUGGGAUAUGUGGUGCACCUGUUGCUUUUAUCUGGAAUAGUGACUUAUGGUAAAUAAAAAAGAACACAACGCUUCACAGUUAUGUUCAGCUGCUAAAUUGCGUAUAUGUUCUAAAAUGGUGUGGGGGUAGCCUUGGUCUUAAAUGAUCACAUUGGAUAAUGGAAACUGUUUCAUCUUUGUUCAGUCUUUCAACAACUGCAAAAGACACCAUGUUAUUAGGAUUUAUUGUAACUCAUCAGGACAAGUGCUGGGAUUCAUUCAACAGUCAUCCUUAAUCUAACUCUGUUUGACAGGUUUGACAGGUUAAUUGUUUGUGGAAAGAAACGGUGUAAAUGUUUUUGUUUGUUAGUUAAAAUGAAGGACAAAUGUUGAUUGAAUUCCAGGUCUGUCCAAUAAUGUGAGAAGUUAUUACACUGUUGUGGCAGAAGUCCUAUUUCAGUCACUAACACGCCAGAAAAUGGUUUCAAACAGUAAAACGGCGACUUAUUAGAGAAUUAGUUGAUUAAUGUUUGAAUACAUUUUUGAACUUUUCAUAUGUGUGACUUAUUCAAAUUAACUGAUUGAACAAAUGCCUUGUACAAUGUAUGUAAUGAUUCCUAAUAAAUGUGUUCCUAGUAACCCUGA